RNAcentral lists this long non-coding RNA (248 nucleotides) under Ananas comosus (pineapple). Its description in RNAcentral is "long non-coding RNA (ACOM_LNC018627)". Lineage: Eukaryota; Viridiplantae; Streptophyta; Magnoliopsida; Poales; Bromeliaceae. The record is from RNAcentral.
UUUAUUUAAGUUGUACAAUAUUCUGAAACGAUAAAUUCGUCCCGAAUAACUGCCGUGUAGGAAAAAUUCUAGAAUGCAAUGGAUAUAUUGGUGAUGUGGCGUAACAAACCAAUCAAAUAUUUUUUUUUAGAGAUAUAUAUUCUAUCAUGAUUAUAAAAAAAUAUUUUUAUUGUACUUUUGUUUGAAAAGAAGAAAUGUGUUUGACUUAUUAUUGAUGACGUGAUGUAAGUGUGACUAGCGUAGAAUUC